Long non-coding RNA from Manis pentadactyla (Chinese pangolin), 1142 nucleotides. RefSeq lists it as uncharacterized. The record is from RefSeq and is a predicted model, not a curated record. The transcript has 3 exons. NCBI's taxonomy places the organism in Eukaryota, Metazoa, Chordata, Mammalia, Pholidota, Manidae.
UAGACAGACCAGUUAGGAAGCUACUGCCGCAGUCCAAGCAAGAGAUGAUGGAUGAUGGCCUGGACAAGGGUGGCAACGGGGAGGAGUGACAAACGGCCAUAUUGUGAACAUAUUUUAAAGAGAAAGAAAAGCAAACAGUCACAUGGUUCUAGAGUGCAGCAUGUUGAAGAGGUGCACGGCUGGCCUGGCUGGUGGCCUUUCCCUCUCAAGCUGAUUAAAUCAGUUAUCGGUACUAGAAAACCAUGACUGGACCAACAUUCCUGCACGCCAGCAUUUUCUAGUCCUUUAAGGCAGUGUCUGCAUGUAGGGUGAUUGCCGUGGUUUUUCCAUUUCUUUCCUUUUCUUUUUUUUUGCCAUGGGUCUCCUUGUUCAAAUAAAAAUGUAUACAGUUUCAGUACAUGUAAAACAGACAAAAGCAAGCCUUUUGCUUUUUUCUGAAGGACUUCAGAAUAGGACACAGCACUCCUGGGUUCUUCCCCUGCAAAUGCUUCUCCUUGGUGGCCUCAGAGGAAGUCGCUCAGGAUAGACUUGAACACUCCUGGGGGGAAGUGGGGGGACCCUGCCCUGGAAGCCAGAAGACCUGUGUGGUAGAUCUGGCUCUGCUAGUAAUUAGUUAUGCAACCCUCAGCAAGAUAUCUAACCUCUCUUUUUCUACUGAUGAGAUGGAGAUACUACUACAUGUCCAUCCCAAGUUCUGGGGGGCAGUUGGGACCCAAGGGCAUGGUGCAUACAAAGUGCUUCACAAAUGGUAAAGAUCAGUAUAAACACGUACAAUGCCUCACUGCACUUAUACGUCAGUAAAUAUUUGUUGAUGUAGACAGAACUGUGUAAGUCAGGAAACAGAAAGAGAUAACCAACAGGGCCCAUUUAAAAAACACUGUGUGGCUGUCCAUGGUUUUGAGAGAAUACACAUAGGAGUAUUGAAACAGAAAAGCUUUUCAGUGUAUAUAUAAAUAGAACAAUGUCAAUAUUUUUAACUGUCUAGUGUUAGCAAGGUGACCGACCAUUAGUUAGGUGCUUGGUCCUAGAAACACCCUAAGACAAGUCUAUGGAGGAAAAGAGGGAGGGGAGUCCAGAGCAUGAAGGUAAAUUUGUGAGCAGUGAUGAUAAAUGCCACGAGCUCAUGGAAAAAGAUCACUUGA